RNAcentral lists this ribosomal RNA (479 nucleotides) under uncultured marine eukaryote. RNAcentral's name for it is "bacterial SSU rRNA". It matches the Rfam family "Eukaryotic small subunit ribosomal RNA", at positions 619 to 1093 of the family's 1831-position model. The record is from RNAcentral.
UUAAAAAGCUCGUAGUUGGAUUUCUGCGGGGGCGGGGCGGCCGACAACAACUCGUUGUUCGAGCUAGCACUUCCCCUGCAUCCUGCCGCGAACCGUGCUACCAUUAGUUUGGUGGCGCUGGGGAUCGGCUCGUUUACUUUGAGAAAAAUAGAGUGAUCAAAGCAGGCCACACGCCUUGAAUAAGUUAGCAUGGAAUAAUGAUAAAGGACUUCGGUUCUAUUUUGUUGGUGUUCGGGACUGAAGUAAUGAUUGAUAGGGACAGUUGGGGCGGUCCGUAUUCCAAAGCGAGAGGUGAAAUUCUUAGACCUUCGGAGGACGAACAGCUGCGAAAGCGUUCCGCAAGGAUGUUCCCUUUGAUCAAGAACGAAAGUUGGGGGAUCGAAGACGAUCAGAUACCGUCGUAGUCUCAACUAUAAACUAUACCAGCUAGGGAUCGGCCAACGUUUUACUUAACCCCGACUUGGGUCGGCACCUUAUGA